Molecule: long non-coding RNA, 1875 nt
Organism: Lutra lutra (Eurasian river otter)
Lineage: Eukaryota; Metazoa; Chordata; Mammalia; Carnivora; Mustelidae
Exons: 2
Source: RefSeq, a predicted model, not a curated record
GGGAGAAGCAGGCUCCCUGCAGAGCAGGGAGCCCGAUGUGGAAUUCAAUCCCAGGACCCUGGGACCCUGAGCCGAAGGCAGACACUUAACCAUCUGAGCCACCCAGGCACCCUGGGAAUGUGUUCUGAAAGGCAGUUUGAAGAUCAAUACCAUUGUCCCAACUGCAACAGCUUAAAGUCAUAUUGGGAUUUGUUUUGUCUAGUAUUACCUGGAACAAGUAGGCAGUUAUUUAAGACUUCCCUUUUUCAUCUUACAAUUUUUAUUUGUAAUAGUUUGGUUUAUUGGUAUCCUUAUGUUGUGUUUAUGUGUCCUUAAGUGAUAUUUAAUAUAGUAAUAAUGUAAUGGGUUUGGGUGUUUGGGUUUUUGUUUGUUUGUUUUUGUAGUUGUCCCAUGUAUUACCUCCCUAAAGUACCUUGACUUCUCUUUUGAAAGGAAGCAAAUGCCAUGAUCUCUGGCCUUUUAUCUUUUCCUGGAUUAAAAGGAGAAAGGAGGAAGCAGUAGACAUCCAUUAAACCCAGCUUCUAUCCCAUUUGAAUGUAUGCCUUGGAUUAUGUCUAUUGGUCUUUCAGUUUUCCUGGAAAUUCUGACACUAGAGGCAGAAGUAUUUAUUUAUAUGGGAAAGGCUAGCUAGCUGAUCAGUGGCAGUGGGGAAAAGACGUGCAUGCAGGGGACUGUUCAUUGUGCGGUGCAUUGCCUUUGAAUAGAGAUUAUAGUCCAAAAAAGAAUUGGAGAUCUUUUUUUGAGAUACUUGAAUCUCAUCCUCCCUCCCUCCCAGUUCCUUGUGAGGGUACACAGGCCUUUCUGGUUCUGCAGGUGUUUGCUGCUAAGGGCCUUUCACUUAAAUACUAGGAACUUCACAUCAGGGCUGGAUGCUUAAAAUACAGUUGGGCCAGGGCUGGGGUGCGGGGGGAGGCGGUUGGUAGCAGAGGACAAGGUGAGGCUGAGAGGAAGCAUGGGGCAAGUACCAAGGCCCUUGAAUGAGGAAACUAGGGAGGAGCGGACUUAAGUCACAACCACAUAAGGAUUUGGUUUCUACACAGAUUACUUAUUUCAGUCAGCUUUAUUCCAUAGGCCAUUAAUGACUUCUUUGGCCCUAGUAAAAGAAACCUAUAAUACCAGAUAUGCUACUGGAGUUUUCUGCUUGGAAAAUAAGUAUUUCCUUGCUAGUAUGUUGGAUAGCUGAAGAGUCAGGUGAAAUCCAAAGAAUAAGGAUUAGGGAAAUUAAUUUAUUACUGAUUUUGCAUGACCAAACAGGUAAAUCAGUGCUUCUCAAGUGGUCCUUGGGCCACUUACAUAUAAAUCACCUGGCUCACCCUUUAAUUCAGGGUCCCAACCCCCAGACUUCUUAAUCAGAAUGUCUGAAGAAUUCCAGGAACUUGCAGCAUUACCUAUUUGGAAAUGAUUCUUAGGCAUACUGAGUUUUGAGAACACUCAUUAUAAAAUGUGCCGACUGCCUAUAGCUAUUAGAAGUUAAACCCUUCCUCACCUUUCUACUCAUUCAGUUUUGUAGCUUACUGGCACAUUUAAUUUUAAUUCUUAAUAGGUUAAACAUUUUCUUCUUCCUCUCAGAGAAGGACCUGAAGAACCUGGCUACCUUUCAGAGCUGUCUGACGGUUUGGCUUUAUUCUCACAUUUGAACUUGAGGUCCAAAUUAGUUUAUUUAGAUCUGAUAUAGUAACCAUUGCCAUAGUUUGCAAUCUGUUUGCCUUCUAUCUUUCUAUUCAUAAUAUGUUUUUAUUAGUAAACCAGAAUUUAACCUCUUAGAGUGAAGAAUUUGGUGGAAUGAAAAUAGUGAGCAGCCCUGUUUUUAGCCAGACUCUAAUUUUUCCUUCCUUCCUCAUUGUCCUAUCUGUGCACCCUGCUUCUCAAUAUCCA